Molecule: ribosomal RNA, 342 nt
Filed under: Nematoda environmental sample
Lineage: Eukaryota; Metazoa; Nematoda
Description: SSU rRNA
Rfam family: Eukaryotic small subunit ribosomal RNA
Source: RNAcentral
CGUGGAUCGAUUUGUCUGGUUUAUUCCGAUAACGAGCGAGACUCUAGCCUACUAAAUAGCGGGUGGAUUAUUGCUGUCCGCACCGCUUCUUAGAGGGAUUUUCGGUGUUUAGCCGCACGAGAUUGAGCAAUAACAGGUCUGUGAUGCCCUUAGAUGUCCGGGGCUGCACGCGCGCUACACUGGCAAAAUCAGCGUGCUGUAUCCAUUCUCGAAAGGGAUUGGUAAACCCCAUGAAAAUUUGCCGUGCUUGGGAUCGGAAAUUGCAAUUAUUUUCCGUGAACGAGGAAUUCCAAGUAAGUGCGAGUCAUCAACUCGCUCUGAAUACGUCCCUGCCCUUUGUAC